Long non-coding RNA from Equus caballus (horse), 1379 nucleotides. Lineage: Eukaryota; Metazoa; Chordata; Mammalia; Perissodactyla; Equidae. The record is from Ensembl.
GGUGUGGGCUCAUUUUCUGUAAUUGAUCACCAACAACUCUUUCCCUAUCUGCUGCAAGGCCCUAGAGUCGCUGUGUGAUGAGAUCUCCCUUUCUACUCUAGUGGAAGUCUCCUGGAGGGAUCCAUAUGGUGAAAUUGCUUUUGCAAUUGAAACGGCCUAGGCAGCAAGAGGAACAGCUUCUCACAGCCUUGGAGAAAAUGCCUGCCUUUAAUAAUGAUGGAAAAGACUCUUCGGCUUCCAAUUUAUUUGCCAAAAAAUCUGUCUUCAGUUCAUGAACCGUGACAUUUCCCCCGGGGAACACUAUGUUCAGAAGGAGCUGCUGGAACAGGGAAGGCAAUCAGCGAAGGGCAGCAGCUGUGGCCCUGCCGAGUGGAGUUUGUGGCGCAGACCAGGACUGCCCAGAGCACUAAGGUCCACCUCCAGUGCUGGCCCGAGUGAGAGCAGAAACUGCUUCCCUGGGACAAUCUGCCUACUGUGCAGGAGGAGCAGGCCAUAUGUGUGGCUGGAAAAGAAACCCAGGACUAAUUAAGAUGAAGAGCUGCUUUCCUCCUCUAGCUCUCAGCCACCCUUGCACUUCAAUUAGGCCAAUCACACUCUAACUUCUUUUCAAAGAACCGACUUUUUCCUGGAUUCAGUCUGUCUUAUGAACAGUACUGGCCAGACUGUCAUCCUUGCUCACUCAUCCUGCCAUUAAUGGAAGAGUUUUCUAAAGGUGGGCAUUGCAUUCACUCAUCACUACCUUUGUCCUCAGCUCACCCUUGCCCUCAAGCUCAAUAAUUCUGCAUUAAAAGCAUCUGAUCCUCGAGAUCUCUUUUUUCUACAGAAUCAUUCCAAACCCUCCCUUUUUUACAAUUCUUUGAAUGAAAGAAAUGGUAAAGGCCUUCUAGCUUUCUAGAUGAAGAUUGCAUUGACUUAACAAAGGAAGAGUAAAUGUUCCUGUCUGAGUUUGUGAGAUUUUAUUGUGCAUCUUAUUCUUUUAGCAUUGGAAUGUUGAUGCCCUGCUCAUGCUGUCAACCAAGAGGCCGUGCCACACAUCCCUAUGUGGAUUCCAAAGGGUAUCGGAACAUGAGAGGCAGGUGCUAGCAAAUUCAAAGACAGAUAGAUAUACAACAUACUUCCUGGAGUUUGGCAGUAAGCAGCCCGGACUGGAGUCACCAGACUUGCACUCUAGUCUCUCACUGCAUCUAACCACUGUGACGCGGCGAGGCCAUUUAACGUUGGUGGCCUCAGUUGCAUAAUUUCUCAAAUGAGGGCCUUAAAAUGGGCUUAGAACGGAAGGUUUAUUCCAGCUUCAACAUUCUGAGGAUCUCAUUCAAUAAAAUUGGAAAAAGAACCAGAGCAUAUUAAAUUUUACUUACAUGCAAUGAACAAAGCUGUAA